GACGAACGCUGGCGGCGCGCCUAACACAUGCAAGUCGAACGGAGAUUACAGGCGGAAGUUUUCGGAUGGAAGCUUGUAAACUUAGUGGCGGACGGGUGAGUAACACGUGAGCAACCUGCCUAUCAGAGGGGGAUAACGAUUGGAAACGAUCGCUAAUACCGCAUGACAUAGCGGAACCGCAUGGUUCUGUUAUCAAAGAUUUUAUCGCUGAUAGAUGGGCUCGCGUCCGAUUAGAUAGUUGGUGGGGUAACGGCCUACCAAGUCGACGAUCGGUAGCCGGACUGAGAGGUCGAACGGCCACAUUGGGACUGAGACACGGCCCAGACUCCUACGGGAGGCAGCAGUGGGGGAUAUUGCACAAUGGGGGAAACCCUGAUGCAGCGACGCCGCGUGAGGGAAGACGGUCCUCUGGAUUGUAAACCUCUGUCUUCGGGGACGAAACGAGACGGUACCCGAGGAGGAAGCCACGGCUAACUACGUGCCAGCAGCCGCGGUAAUACGUAGGUGGCAAGCGUUGUCCGGAAUUACUGGGUGUAAAGGGAGCGUAGGCGGGCAGGCAAGUCAGGCGUGAAAUAUAUCGGCUCAACCGGUAACGGCGCUUGAAACUGCAGGUCUUGAGUGAAGUAGAGGUUGGCGGAAUUCCUAGUGUAGCGGUGAAAUGCGUAGAUAUUAGGAGGAACACCAGUGGCGAAGGCGGCCAACUGGGCUUUUACUGACGCUGAGGCUCGAAAGUGUGGGGAGCAAACAGGAUUAGAUACCCUGGUAGUCCACACCGUAAACGAUGAUUACUAGGUGUGGGGGGACUGACCCCUUCCGUGCCGGAGUUAACACAAUAAGUAAUCCACCUGGGGAGUACGGCCGCAAGGUUGCAACUCAAAGGAAUUGACGG
Molecule: ribosomal RNA, 889 nt
Filed under: uncultured Bacillota bacterium
Lineage: Bacteria; Bacillati; Bacillota
Description: bacterial SSU rRNA
Rfam family: Bacterial small subunit ribosomal RNA
Source: RNAcentral